Small nuclear RNA from Oryctolagus cuniculus (rabbit), 108 nucleotides. NCBI's taxonomy places the organism in Eukaryota, Metazoa, Chordata, Mammalia, Lagomorpha, Leporidae. The record is from Ensembl.
AGGUACUCACUUAAAUAGCCUAUAUACUACAAUUGGAACACACAGAGAAGGUUUACAUGUUCCCUGUGAAUGGAUGAUCAGCAGAUUCAUGGAGUGCCCCAUAUUUUU